RNAcentral lists this ribosomal RNA (562 nucleotides) under uncultured bacterium. Its description in RNAcentral is "bacterial SSU rRNA". It matches the Rfam family "Bacterial small subunit ribosomal RNA", at positions 338 to 917 of the family's 1533-position model. The record is from RNAcentral.
CCUACGGGAGGCAGCAGUGGGGAAUAUUGGACAAUGGGCGAAAGCCUGAUCCAGCAAUGCCGCGUGAGUGAUGAAGGCCUUAGGGUCGUAAAGCUCUUUUACCCGGGAUGAUAAUGACAGUACCGGGAGAAUAAGCCCCGGCUAACUCCGUGCCAGCAGCCGCGGUAAUACGGAGGGGGCUAGCGUUGUUCGGAAUUACUGGGCGUAAAGCGUGCGUAGGCGGUUAUUCAAGUCAGAGGUGAAAGCCCGGGGCUCAACCCCGGAACGGCCUUUGAAACUAGGUAGCUAGAAUCUUGGAGAGGUCAGUGGAAUUCCGAGUGUAGAGGUGAAAUUCGUAGAUAUUCGGAAGAACACCAGUGGCGAAGGCGACUGACUGGACAAGUAUUGACGCUGAGGCACGAAAGCGUGGGGAGCAAACAGGAUUAGAUACCCUGGUAGUCCACGCCGUAAACGAUGAUAACUAGCUGUUCGGGUACUUGGUAUCUGAGUGGCGCAGCUAACGCAUUAAGUUAUCCGCCUGGGGAGUACGGUCGCAAGAUUAAAACUUAAAGGAAUUAGACGG